GAAUCAUGAUAGGAAUGCAAUUGACAAGCUUGACUGGUGGCAUUGGGAUGUAACUUGAUGAUCAAGCAAAAUAAGAUGCAAAUCCAAAUGCAUAAGGAAGAAAUCAUGUUGCUUUCGAUUAAUACAAGUGGGAAUGCACACGUUUCGAUGUUUUGGAAGUCAUAUAAUGAAGUAAAUUGGGCCAAGGUGUUAUUAAAUAUGCCCAAGCAGAUUUUUC
RNAcentral lists this long non-coding RNA (217 nucleotides) under Ricinus communis (castor bean). RNAcentral's name for it is "long non-coding RNA (RCOM_LNC003089)". The record is from RNAcentral. Lineage: Eukaryota; Viridiplantae; Streptophyta; Magnoliopsida; Malpighiales; Euphorbiaceae.